CCUAUUAUUAUUUCAACCGCUUCUUUUCCCCCCUUUCUAGUUUCUACUCCAUCGUCCUUUCUGCUACCUCUUGAUCUGCAACAAAAGAUUUUGAUUUGCAAAAAUCGCCUGGUGUUCUCCCCUCCACCAUUGAAGAAGCCGCCACUGGUUUCAACGUCUCUGCCAGCUUCUUCGUCGCCGCCAGCUACUCCGACUAUUGCAGGGUUGUGUUCAUGUACACAUUUAAAGUCGUUCAAGGGUCUAGAGGAUUGUGCAAACACUUUUGGUGCUGCAAGUAUUUGGAGGUGGAGGUAUAUGAGGAUUGGUGCUGCAAGUAUUUAGCUAAAAGAUGUUGUAAAAUCUGUUGUUAUUUGAAAUUGUGUUAUAAUUUUGACUUAUGUUUAAUUUUUGGAUUUUGACUAUGUUUAAUUUUUGAAAUUGUGUUUUAAUUUUGAGUUAUGUUUAGAUUUUUUCCUUAUAA
Lactuca sativa (garden lettuce) is the source of this 460-nucleotide non-coding RNA. Lineage: Eukaryota; Viridiplantae; Streptophyta; Magnoliopsida; Asterales; Asteraceae. The record is from RefSeq and is a predicted model, not a curated record.